GUCCCUAAAAGAAAAAAAAAAGAAAGAAAGAAAUGGAGGGAAACCCGAAGUGGUCCACUCAGUUGCGGAGAAGAGUAGCUGUUUCUUCUGAGAAGGGCAGCUGUCCAGCUUUUCAUCCCAGCCUAACCGAAGGAUGGAACUUCCUGGUUUUUUAUCCCUCCCUGUUUGAGGAGGAGAGCAAGCAGGAGAUGACACUGGCAUGGGUGGCCAUCAUGAAGGUUGUGGAAUACAUCUGGGGCAAAUGGUGCUGCAAAUGCAGAAGACCGGGGUCAGAGAAGGGCCUCCCCUGGAGGUGCAUUGUGAGAAGAUGGCCUGUGAGCAAGGAUGGGAGGGUCAGGACCAGGAAGGUUGAACUUGGGCAAUGGUCCAGAAAAGGAGUGAUAAGAGCCUGAUAAGAGCUGAAGAGGGGGAGAACAGAAAGGACCUAGAGACUGAGGAGGCAGAUGAGACCAGACUCUAGGUGAUUGACUGCGGGGGCGGGAGCGUGGGGGUGGAGCCAAGUCCUCAAAUUCACUGUUGGAUCAUCACCUGCUGUGGGUCAGUGUGGAUCUGAGUACUGGAAGCCACCCAGAAUCAUAGCCAGUGCAUCACAAACAUCCCUGAGUGAUGGAACAAGAAUGUUUACAUCCAGAAAUUCCUUGUUCAGCCUCCCUCCCAGGAAUGCACCAGGACCUAAAUUCUUCUGUACAGAGGAAAGGUACAGGCCUUGGAAUGGUCUCUCCGGCAUUGUUCCUUGGCAAACACAGGAAGAUGGGUUUCCUCUAGCUUUGUGGUGCUGGACAUCUGAAUCCGGACCCCUCCCCCAGCCUUUGGGGUAGGGAAAAGGAGGCAGAGGACCAGGCAGGCAAUGGAAAAUAAACACCCGCCCCCUGCUCUU
Phacochoerus africanus (Common warthog) is the source of this 877-nucleotide long non-coding RNA. RefSeq lists it as uncharacterized. The record is from RefSeq and is a predicted model, not a curated record. Lineage: Eukaryota; Metazoa; Chordata; Mammalia; Artiodactyla; Suidae. The transcript is spliced from 2 exons.